UCAUGGUUCAGCCUGAGUCGAGUGCACCUGCAGGCAAUCACACGCACCCAUAGAGAGAGAGAGGCACAGGUGGACUGACUUUGUCUAUCUUGAUCUAGCACACUGUGACCUGAUCUGCUGAGCUGAAGCUGGAUCUGCUAGCGUGUUUUGGUGUGACACAACAGAGCCUCUGUGCAGCUCUGGCAGGAGUGGAGGGGGUGAAAGUGGAUGCUUCCCAGGGGAACAACAAGCUACUGCUCUGGACACCACUAUAUACUGUCUAGUGGUGAGAUUCACCAGGCUGAUCAGUCCCCAGCAGCACUCAGAGAGGCAGCUGAACCCUACCUGGAAACAAAUGCUAUGAAGUGUGUGUGUGUGAUAAUGGGAAGUUUUAAGCUCUUAACCUCUCUAAUCUGCUUUCAGAGGCAGUGUUACAAUCUUGUUGCAAUUACUGAUGUGCACAGUAGUUGCACAAAUGUUUUCGUAUCUUACAGGGCAUGCAAAGAAAUGAAAAGUAUUCUGUUCAAGUAAAAUUAUACUUUCAGCGUUUCGGCUGUUCUUUCUUAUAGGUAAAGUCUUAAGAUUCUACAAACUGGAAAAACACACACAAACACACACACACAAAUUACUCUUGCCGGCACAAAUUAGACAAAGAAUGUUAGGAUCUGCUGUGUCUCUCCCUGUGUUUCUUCCUUGUUUCCCUGCCCUUCCUGUUCUCUGUCUGUGUUGUCUGUUUUUGUUGUAUGUCUUCACCUGCGGGAGCGAGGUGUGGCUUCUGAUCCAAUUCACCUGCUCAUCUACACACCUGACCGUCAUCAGGUCUGAUCACCUCUCUCUCCUGCUUCAGUAUAAAGCCCGGGCUCACUCUCCACUCUUCACCAGUUCAUCGUUGAUCCCUUUGUGGUAAAAUUCUCGGCCGACGUAUCGUUCCAAGAAUUCAUCUUCUCUUUUUUGCCUGGGAUUUUUGUAACUUACCUGCCACACUGCUGCCACGCUCAACACCUGUCCUCCUCUCGCCUCACCUGGUGGUUUUGGAAUGCUCCCCAUCUCGGAACUGAACCUCCCUCGAGGACCCAUCACCCCCUGAUCCUCACUCAGAAUCUCCCUUGUGCACUGUUGGUGUUAUAAAUACAAUAGUUAAACAUUU
Non-coding RNA from Plectropomus leopardus (leopard coralgrouper), 1126 nucleotides. Lineage: Eukaryota; Metazoa; Chordata; Actinopteri; Perciformes; Serranidae. The record is from RefSeq and is a predicted model, not a curated record.